AUUGAACGCUGGCGGCAUGCCUUACACAUGCAAGUCGAACGGUAACAGGUUAAGCUGACGAGUGGCGAACGGGUGAGUAAUGUAUCGGAACGUGCCCAGUCGUGGGGGAUAACUGCUCGAAAGAGCAGCUAAUACCGCAUACGACCUGAGGGUGAAAGCGGGGGAUCGCAAGACCUCGCGCGAUUGGAGCGGCCGAUAUCAGAUUAGGUAGUUGGUGGGGUAAAGGCCUACCAAGCCUACGAUCUGUAGCUGGUCUGAGAGGACGACCAGCCAGACUGAGACUGGGACACGGCCCAGACUCCUACGGGAGGCAGCAGUGGGGAAUUUUGGACGAUGGACGCAAGUCUGAUCCAGCCAUGCCGCGUGCGGGAAGAAGGCCUUCGGGUUGUAAACCGCUUUUGUCAGGGAAGAAAAGGUUCUGGUUAAUACCUGGGACUCAUGACGGUACCUGAAGAAUAAGCACCGGCUAACUACGUGCCAGCAGCCGCCGUAA
This 493-nucleotide ribosomal RNA is filed under the name uncultured bacterium. Its description in RNAcentral is "partial 16S ribosomal RNA". It matches the Rfam family "Bacterial small subunit ribosomal RNA", at positions 30 to 523 of the family's 1533-position model. The record is from RNAcentral.